GGCCAAGCUGGCCGCGCCUUGCCACGGCGAGUCCGGCCAAAGUCCGGACGGGAAGUGAAAGGGAGGCGCUGGGCCUCCCUUGGUUC
RNAcentral lists this transfer RNA (86 nucleotides) under Pseudomonas solani. RNAcentral's name for it is "Pseudomonas sp. Sm006 tRNA-Phe". Lineage: Bacteria; Pseudomonadati; Pseudomonadota; Gammaproteobacteria; Pseudomonadales; Pseudomonadaceae. The record is from RNAcentral.